This 775-nucleotide unclassified non-coding RNA is filed under the name Melitaea cinxia (Glanville fritillary). Its description in RNAcentral is "misc RNA ENSMCXG00005016614.1". Lineage: Eukaryota; Metazoa; Arthropoda; Insecta; Lepidoptera; Nymphalidae. The record is from RNAcentral.
CUGCGAUCUUUCGCAAGGCUGAGGAAGACAUUUCCUGCUGAGCCUCAUCUCCGAAACUGUAACUCAAAACUCUUAAAAUGUCAUCGCAGAGUAACAGAAGUUGGGUUUUGUAAGGUAAUAACCGACUGAUAUAAAUAUAUUUUUUGUGAUCAAUGUAGACUUUAAUAUCUCUCUAUAAUAAAUAUAUACUAAAUCCAGAUGGAUAUAUAACCGAUAACACUGGAGCAUUACUGUGUCCAUCACUAUAUCCAAAAUAAAACCGUAGAGCAUUGAAAAGAAUCACUUUCAAAUGUGUCUACAGGUCGGUAUAAUUGUGUAAAAAAAGUUAUAAAUUAUGUAGAAACAAAUAUAUUAUUAAACACAUAUUCAAAUUUGUUACAGAAUAUAUAGUACAAUGGGUGGAACAAAUUCCGCCCAUAUGCACUUCUUUCAGAAAAAUAAAUAAUUUUGAUCUGAAAAAAAUAUUUAUAACUUACCAUUAUAUAAUAUCAAUCAUAACAAUAUCUCUUGUUAAUAUAAAAUAACACAGACUAUAACAGUUUUAAUUCGUCACGACACACAAGGGAACCUGAUACGCCACUUAAACCGGCUGAAACUAGUUCGGACCGGAUGAGAGCGGUUUUAGUUACUUUGAAAAUUGAUCUAACUUCAUGUUACAUUUAAUUCCGCAAGUUGCUUUCUAUGUUUCAUUUAGUUCUUAAUUGUAUGACAUUUGAAUUUCAAAUGCAAAACUUACGUUUGAACAAUAGUAACUAUUAUUAAGUUAAAAGUAUAU